RNAcentral lists this ribosomal RNA (253 nucleotides) under uncultured bacterium. Its description in RNAcentral is "partial 16S ribosomal RNA". It matches the Rfam family "Bacterial small subunit ribosomal RNA", at positions 524 to 776 of the family's 1533-position model. The record is from RNAcentral.
UACGUAGGGAGCAAGCGUUGUUCGGAUUUACUGGGCGUAAAGAGCGUGUAGGCGGCCAAGUAAGUCCGGUGUGAAAACUCGAGGCUUAACCUCGAGAUGUCAUCGGAAACUAUUUGGCUAGAGUCCGGAAGAGGAGAGUGGAAUUCCUGGUGUAGCGGUGAAAUGCGCAGAUAUCAGGAAGAACACCUAUGGCGAAAGCAGCUCUCUGGGACGGUACUGACGCUGAGACGCGAAAGCGUGGGGAGCGAACAGG